GAGCGGUAACAGGUGUAGCAAUACAUGCUGACGAGCGGCGAACGGGUGAGUAAUGCUUCGGAAUCUACCUUAUGGUGGGGAAUAACUAGCCGAAAGGUUAGCUAAUACCGCAUACGUCCUACGGGAGAAAGCAGGGGAUCGUAAGACCUUGCGCCAAAAGAUGAGCCGAAGUCGGAUUAGCUAGUUGGUAGGGUAACGGCCUACCAAGGCGACGAUCCGUAGCUGGUCUGAGAGGACGACCAGCCACACUGGGACUGAGACACGGCCCAGACUCCUACGGGAGGCAGCAGUGGGGAAUAUUGGACAAUGGGGGAAACCCUGAUCCAGCGACGCCGCGUGUGUGAAGAAGGCCUGCGGGUUGUAAAGCACUUUUAGUGGGGAUGAAAUGUGCAGGGUUAAUACCUCUGCAUUUUGACCUAACCCACAGAAAAAGCACCGGCUAACUCUGUG
This 450-nucleotide ribosomal RNA is filed under the name uncultured bacterium. RNAcentral describes it as "bacterial SSU rRNA". It matches the Rfam family "Bacterial small subunit ribosomal RNA", at positions 64 to 507 of the family's 1533-position model. The record is from RNAcentral.